UGUGGGAGCGGGCUUGCUCGCGAUGCAGACAACUCGAUUGAUCAGCAGACCGGGUUGAUCCCAUCGCGGGCAAGCCCGCUCCCACA
RNAcentral lists this unclassified non-coding RNA (86 nucleotides) under Pseudomonas psychrophila. Lineage: Bacteria; Pseudomonadati; Pseudomonadota; Gammaproteobacteria; Pseudomonadales; Pseudomonadaceae. The record is from RNAcentral.